GUAGCAGGAGAAACAUUAAGUUCUGGCCAAGCGCUCACGGUUCUGCAGAAUAAGGAUCAGAACUUCACAGAGGUAAACUGCGUCUGUUCUUUUUACCAUUACAGCAGUUCAUCGUGGCCCUGUGGUUCGCCUCCUUCACCAAAGCUCUGUCAGGGACCUACAUGAAGAGUGCCAUCACUCAGAGAGACACUUUGACCUGUCCAGCUCUCUCAUCGGACUCAUAGACGGCAGCUUGGAGAUGGGUAACCUGCUGUUCCUGGCUGUGGUCAGACAUUUUGGGGCGAAGCUGCACCGGCCCAGGCUCAUUGCUAUGGGCUGUUUCCUCAUGGCUGUAGGAUCCUUCCUCACAUGCCUGCCACACUUCUUCAUGGGACGGUAAAACAACUGAUUGAUAACUGGUUAAACGUGUGCUUGUAGAGAUACUCCAAUGCGGAGGAUAGUUUCACUUUAGAAAUAAAGAAAUGUACCCAGUUGUUGAUUAAUCUCAGUUAAUUUAGAACUAAAGUCUUGUGUAAUUGGUCAGCUGCUUGAUUAUGUUUUGGGGCCAUACAUGUUAAGAGAAGGGAUUGAGAGAUGCUAUAACUGUGACGUGGUGAAGUUGGACCCAGGUGCAGAGAAGAGACCAGAAGAUGAAGCAGUUGUUCCAACCAGUGUCUCCACCCCUCAAGGGCCCACUUAACUGCCAAGAGCUCCCGGUUGCCUACAUCGUAGUUGCCUUCCGCUGGCGAGAACCGCUUGGAGAGAAAGGCGCAUGGGUGCAGUUUCUUGUCCUCCUCGUUCCACUAUGAAAGGACCGCCCCAGCUCCGGUGUCCGAGGCGUCCACCUCUACUCCCUGUUCACCCACGACUGCGUGGCCAUGCACGCCUCCAACUCAAUCAUCAAGUUUGCGGACGACACUACAGUGGUAGGCUUGAUUACCAAAAACAACGAGACGGCCUACAGGGAGGAGGUGAGGGCCCUCGGAGUGUGGUGUCAGGAAAAUAACCUCACACUCAACGUCAACAAAAAAAAGGAGAUGAUUGUGGACUUCAGGAAACAGCAGUGGGAGCACCCCCCUAUCCACAUCGGCGGGACAGCAGUGGAGAAGGUGUAAGCUUCAAGUUCCUCGGCGUACACAUCAUGGACAAACUGAAAUGGUCCACCCACUCAGACAGUGUGGUGAAGAAGGCGCAACAGUGCCUCUUCAACCUCUGGAAGCUGAAGAAAUGUGUCUUGUCAACUGAAACGCUCAAACUUUUACAGAUGCACAAUUGAGAGCAUCCUGUUGGGCUGUAUCACCUCCUGGUACGGCAACGGCACCACCCAAAACCGCAAGGCUCUCCAAAGGGUGGUGCGGUCUGUACAACACAUCACCGGGGGCAAACUACCUGCCCUCCAGGAAACCUACAGCACCCUAUGUAACAGGAUGGCCAAAAUGAUCAUCAAGGACAACAACCACCCAAGCCACUGCUUGUUCACCCCGCUACCGUCCAGAAUGCGAGGUCAGUACAGUAAAGCUGGGACCGAGACUGAAAAAUAGAUGAGAUCUCAAGGCCAUCAGACUGUUAAACAGCCAUUACUAACACAGAGAGGCUGCUGCCUACAUACAGACUUGAAAGCAUUGGCCACUUUAAUAAAUUGAUCACUUGUCACUUUAAUAAUGCCACAAUAUAUUGCAUCACUCAUCUCAUAUGUAUAUACUGUAUCUUGUCUAUGCCGCUCUGUCAUUGCUCAUCCAUAUAUUUAUCUUAUUCCAUUCCUUUACUUAGAUUUGUGUGUAUAAGGUAGUUGUUGGGGAAUUGUUAGAUUACAUGUUAGAUAUUGCUGCACUGUCGGAACUAGAAGCACAAGCAUUUCACUACACUUACAAUAACAUCUGCUAACCAUGUGUAUGUGACCAAUAACAUUUGAUUUGAUUUAUGACCUCGUGUCAAUUGAGAACAGUUGACUAAAUCAGUUAGUGGUUAACAAUUCUCUCCUCAGCUGUACCAGAGGUAGCUCACUUGAUUCAACUUGUCAAUUAACACCAAAAGAAUAUUAACAAUAUAAUAUGGCUGACCAGAAUAAAAAAAACUGUAUGGUUCUUCAAAAAGGCUUUUCAAAGAACUUUUCAGAUUGAGAAUGGUUCUAUUAUAAAACCUUUCUCCAUUAAGGUUUAAUAAAGAACCUUAAAAACGGGGUCUAUAUAGCCCCCAAAAGUGUUGUAACAAUAGCGCAACCCUUUUUUGGUGUUACAGUUGAAGUUGGAAGUUUACAUACACUUAGGUUGGAGUCAUUAAAACUCAUUUUUCAACCACUCCAUACAUUUCUUGUUAACGAACUAUAGUUUUGGCAAUUCAGUUAGAACAGCUAAUUUGUGUAUGACACAAGUAAUUUUUCCAACAAUUGUUUACAGACAGAUUACUUCACUUAUAAUUCACUGUAUCACAAUUCCAGUGGGUCAGAAGUUUACAUACAAUACUUUGACUGUAUCUUUAAACAGCUUGGAAAAUGCCAGAAAAUGAUGUCAUGGCUUUAGAAGCUUCUGAUAGGCUAAUUGACGUCAAUUGGAGGUGUACCUGUGGAUGUAUAUCAAGGCCUACCUUAAAACUCAGUGCCUCUUUGCUUGGCAUCAUGGGAAAAUCAAAAGAAAUCUGCCAAGACCUCCACAAGUCUGGUUCAUCCUUGUAAGCAAUUUCCAAACGCCUGAAGGUACCAUGUUCAUCUGUACAAACAAUAGUACGCGCUAAAAGGGACAGUCAAUAAGAUUCAAACCGAAAUGAAUGGAAUUAAAAAAGAGAACAUCGUUCUGAAAGAAGCCUUACUGGAGAUUCAAACUAGAUCCAUGAGAGAGAAUUUGGUACUUACAGGUAUCCAAGAAAAAGAAGGAGAAGUUCCUGAAUCUAUAGUUAGAGAGUUCCUCCGUACAGCGCUUCAGAUUCCAUGCGAAGUUGUCGACAAAAUCCAACUUGAACGUGUUCACCGCUUCGGACAGAGAGGGCAGAGGUACGAACGCCCAAUCGUUGCAAAAUUUGCUUCAUUUAAAGAUAAAAUAAUGGUUAAAAGCCUAGGUAAAAGACUUGCUGGGACCAAAAUUGGCAUGAAUGAUCAGUUUCCGAAAGAAAUUGCAGAACGGCGCAAAGUUCUGUAUCCAAUUUUCAAAGAAAACAGAUUAAAAGCUAAACGAGUAGCUCUCGUCGUUGAUAAACUAUAUAUUGAUAACCAGUUGUUCAGAGACACAAAGACUACUCCAUGGUUAUUUUAAAAUUUACAAAAUUCUCAUAGACGAGGAAAAUAAACACAAUUCAAGCCCGGUUACUGAUUGUAACAAUACAACAAAAAAUAUAGCUUUUUUAUAAAUCUUCACAUAUAACUAAUUGAACACACAAGCACUAUUUUUACACAGUGAAGAUAAAAACUAAGUAAACAGAAGGCACAGUAUGUGUGGAUGGUAUGGUUUGUGUUUAUUUUAUUUUUUAUCUUAUUUGUCAUGUUUGGAAAGUUGAGUGAGUGAGUAAUGAAAUGGUUGCAUAUCCCAGAGCCAAUGUAUUGCUGUGAGCCGGGUAUGAGAGGGCUUUCAAUGUUGUUCAGAUGAUGGAUAUACUUUUAUAAUGAAUUAUACGUCUUAUUUAUUUAUUGUCCUAUCAUGGAAAACUACAUUUUUUUUAUCUUAAUAAAUUAUAUCUAAUUAUUAUCCUAUUUUAAUGGUACUAUCUAUGGCCCUAUACCCUAGACACCCACCUGAAUGACCCAGAUAUUAAGGAGAAGUCCCUAACUGUUUUAUGUGCUCGCUGUAAGCGGUCUAUAUGCAGCUAAAAUGAGGUCAGAGACCAAGAGCAGCACUGCCCCCUCAAGAUUCUGAGCCUGCUUGGCAGGGUUGGUCCUGCAAAGCCAAAGCCCCCUAAAGGGAGAGGAAAAUAUACAAGGAAUUUCUCAAAGCUGCUAAUGAGAACCUUGACGACCUUGUACCUAGCCGGUGGGGAUUCCGGUGGGGUACCCCCACCCAGGCAGUGGCAGUGCUGGCAACACUAGCUGCAGUAACCCAUGGGGAGGGGGUCACACUCGGACAUUCAGAGAGGGGGUAUAUUAUUGUGGCCCUGGUGGCACAGAAUCAAGGUCGGACUGCAUGGAGAUGCGUGGGGACAUGGUCAUGACUGGUGGCCGUAUUGUGGGUGUUUCUUUCAGGAAUAGGGUGUACAUUUGACGGACAUUAUCUAGGAUAUGACAAUGGUAAAUAAAUUUCCAUUUUUGCUUAUUUUUUUGCGCGGUCUUGCAGGCCUUCUCAUGCAGCUGCAACUGCAAUGGCAUUUGGAAAUCAUGACCCAUCUUGAGUUGGGCUCUGGGAUGGUGCAACUAUUGAGAAAGUGAGCUUAUGGUUGUGUGGGGGUAAGGGCUGAGUGUGUAUGUGUGUAUCCCACAACUGUUGCGAAAGAAGUAAAAGAUGUAAGGUACAAUAGAGGAUGAUCCACAGCUAUAUAUAAUACAAAUCGAGGUGACGGCAAUGGAAAUGCAUAUGGCAAUUGAUUUACUUCAAUUCGGUAAAUGGAACUGUAUGCUCUUUUCAAAGAAUGGAUCCCAGUCGGUUCAGGGCUAUGGGAUACAGGGGGUCGAGGGUGGUCUGCCGGGCAUUGGGAUGACAAGCCAUCUCGAGAUGAGGCCUUUUAGCGGGUGGAAUAGUAGGGACCAAUUGGAGGUUUACUUAGUAGAAAUGCAAAUA
Long non-coding RNA from Salvelinus fontinalis (brook trout), 4676 nucleotides. RefSeq lists it as uncharacterized. The record is from RefSeq and is a predicted model, not a curated record. The transcript has 3 exons. Lineage: Eukaryota; Metazoa; Chordata; Actinopteri; Salmoniformes; Salmonidae.